RNAcentral lists this long non-coding RNA (1106 nucleotides) under Manihot esculenta (cassava). RNAcentral's name for it is "long non-coding RNA (MESC_LNC011083)". The record is from RNAcentral. Lineage: Eukaryota; Viridiplantae; Streptophyta; Magnoliopsida; Malpighiales; Euphorbiaceae.
UCCUUUCUUAUCUGUCCAUUCUAGCAAACUUUCGAAGCGUGCUUUUCCUUAUCAAUCUCUCGAUCUCAUCUUUCAGCUGCCGAUAUUCCUCCGUUGUAUGCCCGUGAUCUUUAUGAAAAGGACAAUAUUUGAUCCUGUCUCAUUGACUCGCGGUUGUCGAAGCCGGUCAAAAAUAACCUUUCCGGUUAUCAAUAAUUUUACAACUGCAAAUAGUGGUAAAGGAUCGAAUCCACAGAGAAUUGAAAACUUAUCUAUUUUUCUCAACAAGACCAAGAGAAUUAACUGAAUGAGAAACUGAAAGCAAGUAACUGUAAGCAGAAUAAAAGUAAAGUGUAAUAAAAGUAAAAAGGGGGUUUUGAGAUUGAUUUGAUUAGCAAACUACGGACAUCAAUUAAAUGAGCAAUUAAUUAAAAUAAAAGAGAAAUUCAAUAUGAGAAAGGUCUAUUUGCAGAGAUGGAUCCACUUUGGUUGUUUGGAUUGAUCAUUGAAACUUAUAUUCUCUUGAUUGAUUCAAUAGAUUAGUUAUGGAGAUGGAAAAUGCUUCUCACCAUCAUGUCCCUCCUUAUGAUUAAAUCAAUUAGGGAACGUCCUCUAAUUAAUUACUAAUUAACAAAUUUCCAAGGAACGUCAUUGGGCAUUAGGCAUGAAAACAAUUGUCAAUUGCAUGAAGAAAUAGAGAGAUCCAAUCCUAGCUACCCAAAUGCAUGGAGAUGUUGUUAGAUCAUACAAUUUCUUAGUUAUUACACCAAGUGUUCUUAUGUUAGAAUAAUUCCAGCAAUUACGGACUAAAAAUUAUCCCAACUAACAAUCAAUUAUCUUGCAAUCAAGAAUCAAGUGGCCAAUUUGAUCAAAACAACAAAGUAAUCAUAGAUUCAAGCACCAAAUUGUAUGAAUAUUGAACAAAUCAAAGACAAAUAGUUUAUGUUCAGAUCUCACAAUCCAUAAAACAACCUUAGUUUCAACCAAUCUUCAACUAGAAUAAAAAGUUUCAGCCACUCAUGGCUGAAACAAAACAGAAAAUAAAAGGAGAACACAAAAGAUGAAGAACCGAAGAUGGAGAUGGAGAGGCUUAUGCACCUUGCUUGGCCGGAUGGGAGGGAUGGAGU